AGCAGCCGCGGUAAUUCCAGCUCCAAUAGCGUAUAUUAAAGUUGUUGCAGUUAAAAAGCUCGUAGUUGAAUUUCGGGGUUCAUCCGUUGGUCGGGCUUUUUGGUCUGUACUGGCGUGAUGGAUUCCUACCUUCUGAAUAACCGGCAUGUCAUUAAUUUGGUGCGCCGGGGAAGCAGGACUGUUACCUUGAAAAAAUUAGAGUGCUUAAAGCAGGCUAUCGCCUGAAUACAUUAGCAUGGAAUAAUGAAAUAGGACGGCAUGGUUCUAUUUUGUGGUUUCUAGGAUCAACGUAAUGAUUAAUAGGGAUAGUUGGGGGCAUUAGUAUUCAAUUGUCAGAGGUGAAAUUCUUGGAUUUAUUGAAGACUAACUACUGCGAAAGCAUUUGCCAAGGAUGUUUUCAUUAAUCAAGAACGAAAGUUAGGGGGAUCGAAGACGAUCAGAUACCGUCGUAGUCUUAACCAUAAACUAUGCCGACUAGGGAUCGGACGAUGUUAAUUUUUUAAUGACUCGUUCGGCGCC
This 519-nucleotide ribosomal RNA is filed under the name uncultured Acaulospora. Its description in RNAcentral is "SSU rRNA". It matches the Rfam family "Eukaryotic small subunit ribosomal RNA", at positions 569 to 1087 of the family's 1831-position model. The record is from RNAcentral. Lineage: Eukaryota; Fungi; Glomeromycota; Glomeromycetes; Diversisporales; Acaulosporaceae.